Molecule: long non-coding RNA, 3069 nt
Filed under: Sus scrofa (pig)
Lineage: Eukaryota; Metazoa; Chordata; Mammalia; Artiodactyla; Suidae
Description: lncRNA (ENSSSCG00035077435.1)
Source: RNAcentral
CACUGUAAAGCAAGGGGAUCAAGUCAUCCUUACAUGUAUACAUUUUUCCCCCACCAUUGUUCUGUUGCAAUAUGAAUAUCUAGACAUAGUUCUCAAUGUGAGCAGUUUUUUAAUUAGAAAGCUCCCUGGCCUCAUUCCAGACAUUGGUCACCAAGUCCGCUAUUACAUUGGAUGAUUAAAGGUAUGUGGAUAUCAAGGAGAGAGCAGGCAGGGAAUUACAUUUGAUGGGCUCCAUUAGUCUUCUGUAGUUCAGGUAAGGUCAGCACAGGAUAUUGUUCAAACUCUAAAUUCUGGUACUUUGUUCCUGGGCAUAGAUGCUCUAACAUUCAGCGGUUUUUGCUGCCUUUUGAAAGGUGUCAAACUCAUAAUCUCACACAGAGUACACCAGAAUGAGGGACACUGACCAGCUCUAACCCAUCUCUAGGCACUAGGUCAUCUUGUCUCAAAAGACCUGUAUAAAAGUAGGCUAUUUCAUGCAAGGAAACUGCAGUUAGGAAAAUUACAUAUGUGCUUUAGACCACUCACAGGUAAAGGGUGGUGCCUGGUCAGGAGCUCUGGUUUUGCUCUUAACCCUUACACAGCCCUGCUUCCUUCAGAAAAAGUGUGGGGUGGAGUUCCCGUCGUGGCUCUGUGGUUAAUGAGCCCGACUAGUAUCCAUGAGGCUGUGGGUUCCAUUCCUGGCCUCGAUCAGUGGGUUAAGGAUCUGGCGUUGCCAUGAGCUGUGGUGUAGGUCGCAGAAGCAAUUCGGAUCCCAUGUUGCUGUGGCCCUGACGUAGGCCAGCGGCUACAGCUCCAAUUAGACCCCUAGCCUGGGAACCUCCGUAUGCCAUGGGUGCAGCCCUAAAAAGACAAAAAGAAAAAAAGAAAAAAAAGUGAGAGGAAAAAGCUAACCUUUCUCUAUUCUCGCCAUAUAUUUUGAAAUUUGAACAGUCCUUGAAUUUAUUUCCUUUUUUCUGAUUUAAAAAUUGAAAUCGUUUAUUAUCCCUCAAUCAGGAGGAAACACUGUCGAAUUUUUUUGUGUACUUUCUAUCUCAUUUCUUUGCAUACAUGUGUGUAUGUGUAUAAAUCAAAUUGGUAUUUUUAUUACUUAGCCACUUUUCUUUUGAUGGACACUAGAGAGGUUGCACGCCCUGGACCAAUGCAGAAUACAAAGCAUUUUUGUUAAUUAGCUAUCUAUGCCAUAUUGGGCUUUUCAUUCCUUUUUGUAUCACAAGAUCGUUUCUCUUGCUGAUUCAUCUCCUGCCAUAUCUUUUACAUUCUCUCUAUGUCCAUUGCCACUUCUCUGUACAACUCUUGUUACCUUUCUUCCCUUCCUUUCCUCCAAAACUGUCCUCAUAAAGGUUGCUGAAGUUCUAGUUAUUAAUAAUCCAGUGAUGCCCAGUUUAUCUAUUUGUUUCACUUGUUCCUGUGCGUCUAUUAUUUUGGUACUAAGAAACCAUCAAGGAUACAAAGAGUCAUGGCCUAUGUGCUCUUCUGAGAGUUUUAUAGUUUUAGUUCUUACAUUUAGCUGUUACAAAAAGGCAUUUAUUAAGGGGGUAUUUUACAGAAUUAGGAGGGUUUGAAGAAAUGGACUCUAGCUUUGGCUUCCAGGAACAACCCUCUCGAUCACAUUAUAGAACUGGGUUGCCAGAGAGAUGUGGUCUUGACCAUGACCACGAAGCUGGUAUGCCCCUCUAGCUCCAGAACCACCCUAUCCUGCCAUGGUCUCCACCAGCAAAAUGAUUGCCUUGUGUCCCAUCCAUCUUCCACAUUCAACUCAGAGCCUCAGUCUCUUCAUUUAUAAACUGUGAGGGGCAUCUACCUCCAGGGUGUAUCUAGCACAUUUCACAAUUCGUGGGGCCUAAGCACAUGCCAGUGAUAUGGAUGUAGAUUGUAAAUGACUCGUUAGGACUUACCGGUGCCAACCAGCUGAAUAUUAACAGUCUUGACAGUAUUACAAGAAUUAAAUGAGCUUGGUACUGUAAUGCCAAGUGACAAGGGUUAUUUGAUGGUCCUGGGUACCUAUGGCAUGCCUGGUCUGACUGAGAUUACUCAGGGUAGCAGUGGUCAGACAGGUGAAAAUCCUAGAAACACCCCCCAAGACCUUAAAAGAGAGAGAAUGCUCUCACAGAUACAGACAAGAAUCUAAGCACUUGGACUCCUGCCUCUGAGCUCUCGACCUGAGCAUAACCUGGGCACACAGGAAAGAGAGCUGGGUGGUGUUUGGUCAGUCAAGGGGGAGACUGCUCCAGUUCUCAACUGUUAUUCUAGCAAAACAGGUGGAUGGAUUUGAGCCCAAGAGGUAAGAAGUGAGCAAAAUAACCAGGAUCGUUAGGCUUUGGGGUAUGCUUUGCAUGAGAAUGAUGGACACUAAACCUGUCGGAAGGAAAGGCGUGUACAGGAGUAAACAUGCCAGAGACUGGAGUCCAGAACCUUGAAAGUUUAAUGAGGACAGUUAGUGAAGCAGUACCCUGUGAUGAAUCACAUCAAAAGCACUGCUUAAAUCAAGUGGGAUCAUGGUGGACAAUACCAUUUAAUUUAACUGCUUAAAGGUCAUUUGAAACUCUUAAUAGUGCACUGGCAGGAGGACUUGGCUUCUAAAUCCAGGCAGAUAAAGGUGCAUUAGGUCUCCAGAGUGGAGGACUUAAGAUCUGAGCCAGCCCGGCAGAGCUGGUGCACCUGAAUAGAUGAGAAGAAGCAAGAGGAGACAGAUGAAAGUGAAAUGGAGUCACUGCGGGUUUUUUACUUCUUUUAAUUUUUUAGAGAUCUCCUCACUGGAGGGCCUAAAAAGUGAUGUUAAGAAAGUAAUAAAUGAGUACAAGGUUAUUACAGGGAAUAUUGCUGUCAUGUUUUGUGAGCAAAUGAACAUGUUAUAUAAGUAGUUAUAAUGGCGGUACACAAGGUAGAGUUUCAUAUUUUCAGAAAAUAAAGAUUACAACUGAAUGUAUCUGGUGCAUAUUUAAUGAAGAGCAUAAUCAAGGGAUAUUGGAGCUGUAAAGGAACCGGCCAGUUGUCAGGUUCAGCCUCCUCAUUUGUGCAAAUGAGGAAAACAAAUUUGGAGAUGACUCUGGUAUCCUGAGUUUACACAGU